UCAGCCGCUGCGCUUGGUGUCAGCUGCGGUGGGUCCGGCUGGGAUCUCUGCAGGAAACUUCACUCACUCCAGUACCUCUUUCCACCCUCUGCUUGUCUUCUGCAAACGCAUCUGCGGCCAUAAAUCCCAUCCUUGUCAUCCAUCCGGACGUGACCUGAUCCUUUGGUGCUGACUUGGAAGGAGCAGAGUUUGGUUGCUGGGACAGAUAAGGGACAAGAUUGCGAUUACCUCAAAUAAACGAGCAGGUCUUAAAACGAGACAUGGGGACAGCAGGGGUGGGAAGAUUUGGGUUUGCAGAUAAGCACAGAGUAUAGCGCGUAUACACUGACAAAAGCGCGUUUUGCAGAUGUAAAAGGAAUGUGGAAGGGUGUGGCCGCCGAGCCCGCUGUGGCAACUGCCUAGCUGAGUGGGAGGGUUCUGCUUGUGGUGUUUAUAGCUUGUCAAUAGUUUGUAACGCGAUAUUCUUUGUGACGUGUGCUCAGACUGGAUGUAAGAGGUGGCUAAUCAGAUGAAGAAAUGGCCAGCUGUACUCUUAAAAUUGUUUUCAUUUCCACACCUGGAUGUUUUAAUACCAACUACUCUUGAGAGCCGAGAGGCUUACAUUUUCUGACUUUGGGCUAUAUUCUCCACACUUUUUACUACUUGUGGGGAAUACGUAUUGUGUAAGUGGCCCUUCUGAGCGUUCGGGGGAGAGGGCAGUCAUAUUAUCCAGCCUUGGUUUUUUUGUUUCCUUACUUCUGGGAUAACAGGUGUACACCACCAAGUACAACUCCUCUGAGCUUUUUCAUAAGAUCAUGUCUAUCAUUCAUUCAAAAAUUUCUCUAAAAAAAAUUACGUAUAUAUGUGUACUUGAAUACAGGGCCAGAGAGGUUGUUGGAUCCCAUGGAACUAAAGUCACAGGCAGUUGUGAGCUGCCUGAUUUGGGUGCUAGGAGCUUACACUGAUCUUUUCCAAGAGCAGCAAGUGCUUUUGGCCUGGCUCUACCAUCACCUUCCUUCCUUCCUUUUGUCCCAAGACUGGAUUUCAGUUCAUUUGUGGUGUUUCUCCACCAGCCUUCUAAGUGCUGCUAUCAUAGGUCUGAGCCACUGCAUCCAGCUCUUGACGUUUUUAUGCUGUGGCCUUGUUUUCCGGACCUUGAUCCAGAUGUUUGUGGCUGGCAUAAUUUGUGGCUUAGGAGUGCUCAGGUUGCACUCCUUUGCAACUCUGUGAUGAGAUGGGUUUGGUUACUAAGUGUUUCUGUGUGCUGAAUGCUUUUAUGAAGUCUUCAAUUAAAAGUAUAAGUGCACCAAG
RNAcentral lists this long non-coding RNA (1290 nucleotides) under Mus musculus (house mouse). RNAcentral's name for it is "long non-coding RNA chr14:70659383-70660673". The record is from RNAcentral. Lineage: Eukaryota; Metazoa; Chordata; Mammalia; Rodentia; Muridae.